GACGAACGCUGGCGGCGUGCUUAACACAUGCAAGUCGAACGGAAAGGCCCCUUUGGGGGUACUCGAGUGGCGAACGGGAGAGUAACACGUGAGUAACCUGCCCUUGACUUCGGGAUAACAUCAGGAAACUGGGGCUAAUACCGGAUAGGAAUCCUUGCUGCAUGGUGGGGGUUGGAAAGCUUCGGCGGUUUUGGAUGGACGCGCGGCUUAUCAGCUUGUUGGUGGGGUAGUGGCUUACCAAGGCUUUGACGGGUAGCCGGCCUGGGAGGGCGACCGGCCACAUUUGGACUGCGGUACGGCCCAGACCCCUACGGGAGGCAGCAGUGGGGAAUCUUGCACAAUGGGCGGGAGCCUGAUGCAGCAACGCCGCGUGCGGGAUGACGGCCUUCGGGUUGUAAACCGCUUUCAGCAGGGGCGAAGCUUGUGGUGACGGUACCUGCAGAAGAAGCACCGGCUAACUACGUG
Molecule: ribosomal RNA, 465 nt
Filed under: uncultured bacterium
Lineage: Bacteria
Description: partial 16S ribosomal RNA
Rfam family: Bacterial small subunit ribosomal RNA
Source: RNAcentral